AAAAAAAAGGAAGACGAAAUAGAGAGAAAAAAAAGAAAGAUGAACAAAAAUAUAAAAAAAAACUAAAGAAAUAAAGAAAGAAUAUAGAAACAGAAAAAAAAAUGACUUAAGAAAAUCACAUAAGAUUAAUUUGUUGGCGUAGAGACGAAUCACAAAUUACUGAUAAGAGGAAAGCUUCUGUAUCUUAAUGAAGGGAAGAAAGGAAAUUACAUUAUUAGUGGCUGUGAUGUAGAGGUGAAGGAGACUCCCUAACCACUGCGAUGUAUUUUGAAACGCUCACAUACACAGACUAACAGAAGAGAGUGAGAUGAAAGAAGGGAAAGGAAAUACAGACGUAGAUUAACACAGAGGGAAAGGAAAAAUUUGACUCAGUAAUGAAAUUUGCAAGGUAACACAAACAUAAUGAGAAAAAUUAAUAGUAUAUGAUCUUUUUUUUAUCAAUGUAAGUAUAAUAGAAAAAAAAUGAAACGGACAUAGGCAGAUUAACACAAAAGAAAAAAAAUAAAUGCAGUAAUGAAAUGUGCAAGGUUAACACAAACAUAAUGAGAGAAAUUAAUAGUAUAUGAUUUUUUUGUGUAAGUAUAAUAGAUAAAAAAAAUGAAACAGACGUAGGUAGGUUAACACAAAAGGAAAGGAAAAUUUAAAUACAGUAAUGAAAUGCGCAAGGAUAGAAAUGAAUAGUGUAACAGUAUGAUAGUUGUAUGAUAAAUAAGUCAAAGGAACACAGACGUAGAUUGAUGCAAAAAGAAAGGAAAAAUGAGACCGUAGUGAAAUAUGCAAGGUGACACAAACGUAAGGAAUGAAAUAGUGUAAUGUUAUGAUAGUGAUAUUAAAGAUAAAUAAAAAAAAUGAAACACAUUCUUAGGUCAAUACAAAGGAAAGGAAAAAUGAGACACGGAAAUGAAAUUAACACCAACAUAACGAAAGAAAUGGAGUGUAAUGUUAUAAUAGUUGUAUAAUAGAUAAGAAAAGAAAAUGAAACAGACGUAGGUUAACAAAACGGAAAGGAAAAAAUUGAGACGCAUUAAUGGUAUAUCCAAGGUAACACAAAUAUAAGGAAUGAAAUCAAUAGU
Portunus trituberculatus (swimming crab) is the source of this 1073-nucleotide long non-coding RNA. RefSeq lists it as uncharacterized. The transcript has 2 exons. The record is from RefSeq and is a predicted model, not a curated record. Lineage: Eukaryota; Metazoa; Arthropoda; Malacostraca; Decapoda; Portunidae.